Molecule: ribosomal RNA, 459 nt
Filed under: Rhizophagus intraradices
Lineage: Eukaryota; Fungi; Glomeromycota; Glomeromycetes; Glomerales; Glomeraceae
Description: LSU rRNA
Rfam family: Bacterial large subunit ribosomal RNA
Source: RNAcentral
AGACCGAACCCAAGUGAUCUUGCCAUGGCCAAGUGCUAUUUAAUAAGACUGAACGGGUGUCCGUUGCAAGGGACUCCGAAGAGCUGUGGCAAGGGGUGAAAAGCCAAUCUAACCUGGAGAUAGCUGGUCUUCUGCGAAACCCGUUUUAGCGGGUCGCCCAUUUAUUGAAAUUAAAUUCGUUACUAGACGGUACGGCACUGGAAGCCACGCAGCUUUUGCUGCAUAAUCGGGGGGCUGUCAUGGCUCUAUCGAUGGCUUCUAACCCCGGAAAUGUAUAGUAUACAAUGAUGGGCAAUCAGACGUAUCGUGAUAAGGCGAUUCGUCAAAAGGGCAACAGCCCAGAACAGGUGUGAAGGUCCCUAACAAGCUACUGAGUGAACACAAGGCAGUCCUCUCCAGUGUCUCUCCACAAAGUGGGCUUGGAAGCAGCCACCUUUUAGCGAUAGCGUAACAGCUCAG